CUUUACUACUUGGAUAACCGUGGGUAAUUCUAGAGCUAAUACAUGCUGAAAAUCCCGACUGCGGAAGGGAUGUAUUUAUUAGAUUAAAAAACCAAUGCCCUCUGGGCUCUCUGGUGAUUCAUGAUAACUGCGCGAAUCGCAUGUGGCCUUGCGCCGGCGAUGGUUCAUUCAAAUUUCUUCCCUAUCAACUUUCGAUGUUUGGGUAGUGACCAAACAUGGUUGCAACGGGUAACGGAGGGUUAGGGCUCGGCCCCGGAGAAGGAGCCUGAGAAACGGCUACUACAUCCAAGGAAGGCAGCAGGCGCGCAAAUUACCCAAUCCCGACACGGGGAGGUAGUGACGAUAAAUACUGAUACAGGGCUCUUUUGGGUCUUGUAAUUGGCAUGAGUACAAUUUAAAUCCCUUAACGAGGAACAAUUGGAGGGCAAGUCUGGUGAACACGUUGCUGGUGCCAGAGAGAGCCGCCCCUCCGUAAACCGGUGCGGCUAGUCGAGUGCUCGCGUCAGUGGCGGGUGAGCACCGGCGAGACAACCUGGGUCGGGGAAGGCUAAGGGCCCCUCGGGGCCUAUGCUGAUCCCGAGCAGAGCCGUGCUGCGCAGCCGGCCUGUGUAGAGCGCGCCAAGGUGUCGGUCCGGGGGGGUCGCCUCCCCCGGGCUUGAGGUACGUGCCAAUCCCCUGCGAAAGCAGGGCCCUGCGGACGGAGCACCCGUCAUGCGAAGCCGCCGGGGGGGGCAGGCGGCCCCGCCGGGGCCCCUGCCGUGAGCCACAGUGGCCAGCAGCCGCGGUAAUUCCAGCUCCAAUAGCGUAUAUUAAAGUUGUUGUGGUUAAAAAGCUCGUAGUUGAACCUUGGGCCUGGCCGGCCGGUCCCGCCUCACCGCGUGCACUGGUCCGGCCGGGCCUUUCCCCCCGCGGAACCCCAUGCCCUUCACUGGGCGUGGCGGGGAAACGGGACUUUUACUUUGAAAAAAAUAGAGUGCUCCAGGCAGGCCUAUGCUCGAAUACAUUAGCAUGGAAUAAUGAAAUAGGACGUGCGGUUCUAUUUUGUUGGUUCUAGGACCGCCGUAAUGAUUAAUAGGGACAGUCGGGGGCAUCAGUAUUCAAUUGUCAGAGGUGAAAUUCUUGGAUUUAUUGAAGACUAGCUACUGCGAAAGCAUUUGCCAAGGAUGUUUUCAUUAAUCAGGAACGAAAGUUAGGGGAUCGAAGACGAUCAGAUACCGUCGUAGUCUUAACCAUAAACUAUGCCGACUAGGGAUCGGACGAUGUUAUCUUUUGACUCGUUCGGCACCUUACGAGAAAUCAAAGU
Molecule: ribosomal RNA, 1303 nt
Filed under: Ophiocordyceps sp.
Lineage: Eukaryota; Fungi; Ascomycota; Sordariomycetes; Hypocreales; Ophiocordycipitaceae
Description: partial 18S rRNA
Rfam family: Eukaryotic small subunit ribosomal RNA
Source: RNAcentral